AGAUUGAACGCUGGCGGCAGGCCUAACACAUGCAAGUCGAGCGGCAGCACGGGUACUUGUACCUGGUGGCGAGCGGCGGACGGGUGAGUAAUGCCUAGGAAUCUGCCUGGUAGUGGGGGAUAACGCUCGGAAACGGACGCUAAUACCGCAUACGUCCUACGGGAGAAAGCAGGGGACCUUCGGGCCUUGCGCUAUCAGAUGAGCCUAGGUCGGAUUAGCUAGUUGGUGAGGUAAUGGCUCACCAAGGCGACGAUCCGUAACUGGUCUGAGAGGAUGAUCAGUCACACUGGAACUGAGACACGGUCCAGACUCCUACGGGAGGCAGCAGUGGGAAUAUUGGACAAUGGGCGAAAGCCUGAUCCAGCCAUGCCGCGUGUGUGAAGAAGGUCUUCGGAUUGUAAAGCCCGUUUUGUAGGAAAGAAAGCAAGUUCGGUUAAUACCCGGUUGUUACGUGAACGGUACCAAAGUAACUAAGCAACCGCUAACUUCGACG
Molecule: ribosomal RNA, 493 nt
Filed under: uncultured soil bacterium
Lineage: Bacteria
Description: bacterial SSU rRNA
Rfam family: Bacterial small subunit ribosomal RNA
Source: RNAcentral